AAGUAAGCUUGGAAAAAUACAUCAAGUGCAUUCAAGAGAAAACCCUAGCAAGGCAAGCUUCAUCCAAGUGCUUCAUUCAAGAGUAAAAAGAAAGUGGUUGAGCAGAUUCUAAGAGUCAUUAAGAGCUCCUUCCACCCUUGAAGAGUGAAGCAUCCUUGACAAAGAAGAGAGAAGUCACAUCAAGCGAUAACUAUUCUCUAAACUCUUCUUUGUAGAUUAUAUUGUUAUAUUUGCUCAUCUAGGAGCUUAAAUCUUCUUACUUUGUUUAUUAAACUCCUUGUUGUAAGGUUUGUUGGUAAGCCCGUAAAACCAACAUUGAAGGUUUGUUGGUAAGCCCGUAAAACCAACAUUGUAGGUUGUUGGUAAGCCCGUAAAACCAACGUAGGUUGUUGGUCAACCCGCAAAACCAACAUAGGUUGUUGGUAAGCCCGUAAAACCAACGUAGGUUGUUGGUAAGCCCGUAAAACCAACGUAGGUUGUUGGUGAACCCGGAAAACCAAUUGUUUAGGUUCGUUGGUGAGCCCGUAAAACCAACAUAGGUUUUUGGUGAACCCGGAAAACCAAAGUGUAAAGGUUUUUGGAUUGUGAGCCCGGAAAACAAUCCAACUGUAAUCCGCGGGAUUAUAGUGAAUUCCCAAGGGGUCGCUUGGGGAGUGGACGUAGGUGCUAAGGAGAGCACCGAACCACUGUACUUCUUGUUGUUUGUAUUGUAAUUUGUUUAAUUCCACUAACUCAUCAUUUAACAUAAGUAAGAUAGUUAAAAUUGAGAGAAACCAAUUCACCCCCC
RNAcentral lists this long non-coding RNA (787 nucleotides) under Phoenix dactylifera (date palm). RNAcentral describes it as "long non-coding RNA (PDAC_LNC004485)". Lineage: Eukaryota; Viridiplantae; Streptophyta; Magnoliopsida; Arecales; Arecaceae. The record is from RNAcentral.